UUAUCUCUGUAGAGUCUGCAUAUCAAUAAGCGGAGGAAAAGAAACUAACAAGGAUUCCCUUAGUAACGGCGAGUGAAGCGGGAAGAGCUCAAAUUUGAAAUCUUCAAGGUUCUACCUUGACGAAUUGUAGUUUAAAGAAGUGUUUUCUGUUAGAUGAGUAGCAAAAGUUCCUUGGAAUGGGACAUCAUAGAGGGUGAGAAUCCCGUAUUUGGUUAUUCAUUCUAGCUUUGUGAUACACUUUCAAAGAGUCGGAUUGUUUGGGAAUGCAGUCCAAAAUGGGUGGUAAAUUUCAUCUAAAGCUAAAUAUUGGCGAGAGACCGAUAGCGAACAAGUACCGUGAGGGAAAGAUGAAAAGAACUUUGAAAAGAGAGUUAAACAGUACGUGAAAUUGUCAAAAGGGAAGCGUUUGACACCAGUGUUGUUUUCUCGAAAAUCAAUUAAGAAUGGCUUGAUUUUGUGUUGUAUUGACCUUAUAAGCUUUCUGCACUUUUUUGCAUGUCUUUCUUAAUGCACUUUUCGGUUAACAAGUCAACAUCAAUUUCUUUUGUUGUAAAAGAGUCAUUGGAAGGUGGCUUUCUUUUCGGAGAAAGUGUUUAUAGCCUUAUACUUCUACAAUCGGAGAGACUGAGGUCUGCAGCGUAGAUCCUUCGGGAUUAGAUUCAGUUAGAUGCUAAGUUACUACCGUUUUAUAGACAACUUGUUGACUAUAAUUCGAUCCUGUAGCUUACUCGCUUAUGGUAUUUUACCUACGCUUAGGAUGUUGAAGAUGUAGCACAUCAU
This 780-nucleotide ribosomal RNA is filed under the name uncultured Neocallimastigales. Its description in RNAcentral is "partial large subunit ribosomal RNA". It matches the Rfam family "Eukaryotic large subunit ribosomal RNA", at positions 24 to 635 of the family's 3401-position model. Lineage: Eukaryota; Fungi; Neocallimastigomycota; Neocallimastigomycetes; Neocallimastigales. The record is from RNAcentral.